This 512-nucleotide long non-coding RNA is filed under the name Androctonus crassicauda. The record is from RNAcentral. Lineage: Eukaryota; Metazoa; Arthropoda; Arachnida; Scorpiones; Buthidae.
CUUCUUUUCUCUCUUAUGUACUUCUUUCUUAAACUUCCUCUAAAUCUCUCUCCUUUACUCUCUAGCUGAUUGAUUACAUCCUCGUGGGGUUGUACUUGUUGUAAUUCCUUGAAAAUGUUCCUCUCGUUAUUGAACAGUUAAAAGCAGUUAUUAAAGCAAUAGAAAAGAACUUAUAGCUAUGAGUGAGCUGACCCAGCUCAAGAAACAGUAUACAAGCAUCAACCAGAAGAAAAUUAGAGCUUUUGAGACCUGGAAGUUUAUAGAACAAUGUAGAAUUAAUGAAGUCUUCCCUAACACCAUUAACAAUAUAAAGUUACCGAUACGUUCCAGGAAAGUACUAUAUAAUACGAAAAGAAUAUGUUUAAAAGUGACGAUAAUGGAUGAAAGAAGAAGGUAUUUUAACUUCCUCUGAGGAGGGUUAUUCAAUGUGGAAAUCAAUCCAGUCACCAUGAGAUAUAGAUGCAAGAUAGAAAGAUAUUCCAACAUGAGAUUGAUCUAUAGUAGGAGGAAAC